AGGUAACUAUUUCAAUUUAUCCGAUAAGGGUCUACAAUUUAGACUAUGAGGUCAUUUUUUGUAUUUAGUUUUAUAAAAACCCCCUCCCAGGUAAAUAUUGACUUAAUCUCAAUAAAGAUCUACAGGGUCUUCUCGUCCCUCUAGGGAAUUUAAGCAUUUUCACUUAAAAUUCAAGUUCUAAUUUUUAAAAAGGAGACAGGUAGGUCUCGGUUAGACCAUUCAUUCAAGUCUUCAAUUAAAAGACAAGUUAUUAUGCUACC
This 260-nucleotide ribosomal RNA is filed under the name Polyplax cricetulis. Its description in RNAcentral is "partial large subunit ribosomal RNA". Lineage: Eukaryota; Metazoa; Arthropoda; Insecta; Psocodea; Polyplacidae. The record is from RNAcentral.